This 295-nucleotide unclassified non-coding RNA is filed under the name Basidiomycota sp. RNAcentral's name for it is "partial contains small subunit ribosomal RNA, internal transcribed spacer 1, and 5.8S ribosomal RNA". The stretch from base 1 to 47 matches the Rfam family "Eukaryotic small subunit ribosomal RNA", at positions 1785 to 1831 of the family's 1831-position model. Lineage: Eukaryota; Fungi; Basidiomycota. The record is from RNAcentral.
AAAGUCGUAACAAGGUUUCCGUAGGUGAACCUGCGGAAGGAUCAAUACAAAUAGGAUUUGGUGGGAAAGGGAUGAUGUUUGUUUGGAUGUGUUUGAAUGUGAUUGGAUGUGUUUGGAUGGAUGUAAAAAUCUUGACAAUCGUAACAAUCGUAACAAUCAUUCAAGAACAACAACACCACACCCACACCACACAUAUGUUCGGGGAGUAAUCCUUGAAUACAUUAAUGCUUGUCUUGUUUGUCAGUUCUAUGUAAUGAAAAGUAUACAACUUUUAACAAUGGAUCUCUUGGCUCUU